This 447-nucleotide long non-coding RNA is filed under the name Nicotiana benthamiana. RNAcentral's name for it is "long non-coding RNA (NBEN_LNC012519)". The record is from RNAcentral. Lineage: Eukaryota; Viridiplantae; Streptophyta; Magnoliopsida; Solanales; Solanaceae.
CAUGGAAUAAAAGUAGAUAUUUACAUUCUUUAAUAAACUUAAACCAAUUUCAUGUCCUACAACUCAUUUCAACCUAAUACCCUUGUCAUGCUAUUUAUCACACCAAAAACAGAGUAAAAGAACCAGAAAUGAACCUUAGAUAAGCAAAUUAUCGAUUAAUAAAGUGAUUCCGGCAAUUACACGGACAGAAGAAAACCACAAAUUCGAUCAAAAUUUGAAGCAGCGGUCAACUCGAUCGGAACCCUGAAUCUGCCUAGAAACCUCAGAAUACGACCUUCAACGAACUAGGAACUCGUCGGAAAACUUGAAUUAAACCAGAACAACCUUUCAUUUCAUUUCGCUUCUCAGCUUUGGUAUUUUGGCUUUCUGUCGUUCCUUUUUUUUUUUUUUUUUGCUUUGAUCGAGUCCCUAUUGUGUGUCUCUUAGGAGAUUAAAUUUUGGUUCCUU